Molecule: small nucleolar RNA, 91 nt
Organism: Amaranthus tricolor (Joseph's coat)
Lineage: Eukaryota; Viridiplantae; Streptophyta; Magnoliopsida; Caryophyllales; Amaranthaceae
Product: small nucleolar RNA snoR8a
Exons: 1
Source: RefSeq, a predicted model, not a curated record
AAAUUAGCUAUGAUUAUAAAAAAUUCCUCGUUCUGAUUUGCUAUUGCCAUGGCAUGACAGACGCUUUAUACACCCAUAGAAUAUGAGCUUU